AACCUGGGAACUGCAUUCGAAACUGGCAGGCUAGAGUCUUGUAGAGGGGGGUAGAAUUCCAGGUGUAGCGGUGAAAUGCGUAGAGAUCUGGAGGAAUACCGGUGGCGAAGGCGGCCCCCUGGACAAAGACUGACGCUCAGGUGCGAAAGCGUGGGGAGCAAACAGGAUUAGAUACCCUGGUAGUCCACGCCGUAAACGAUGUCGAUUUGGAGGUUGUGCCCUUGAGGCGUGGCUUCCGGAGCUAACGCGUUAAAUCGACCGCCUGGGGAGUACGGCCGCAAGGUUAAAACUCAAAUGAAUUGACGGGGGCCCGCACAAGCGGUGGAGCAUGUGGUUUAAUUCGAUGCAACGCGAAGAACCUUACCUGGUCUUGACAUCCACAGAACUUUCCAGAGAUGGAUUGGUGCCUUCGGGAACUGUGAGACAGGUGCUGCAUGGCUGUCGUCAGCUCGUGUUGUGAAAUGUUGGGUUAAGUCCCGCAACGAGCGCAACCCUUAUCCUUUGUUGCCAGCGGUUCGGCCGGGAACUCAAAGGAGACUGCCAGUGAUAAACUGGAGGAAGGUGGGGAUGACGUCAAGUCAUCAUGGCCCUUACGACCAGGGCUACACACGUGCUACAAUGGCAUAUACAAAGAGAAGCGACCUCGCGAGAGCAAGCGGACCUCAUAAAGUAUGUCGUAGUCCGGAUUGGAGUCUGCAACUCGACUCCAUGAAGUCGGAAUCGCUAGUAAUCGUAGAUCAGAAUGCUACGGUGAAUACGUUCCCGGGCCUUGUACACACCGCCCGUCACACCAUGGGAGUGGGUUGCAAAAGAAGUAGGUAGCUUAACCUUCGGGAGGGCGCUUACCACUUUGUGAUUCAUGACUGGGGUGAAGUCGUAACAAGGUAACCGUAGGGGAACCUGCGGUUGGAUCACCUCCUUACCUUAAAGAA
Molecule: ribosomal RNA, 932 nt
Filed under: Klebsiella pneumoniae
Lineage: Bacteria; Pseudomonadati; Pseudomonadota; Gammaproteobacteria; Enterobacterales; Enterobacteriaceae
Description: bacterial SSU rRNA
Rfam family: Bacterial small subunit ribosomal RNA
Source: RNAcentral